This 253-nucleotide ribosomal RNA is filed under the name uncultured bacterium. RNAcentral's name for it is "partial 16S ribosomal RNA". It matches the Rfam family "Bacterial small subunit ribosomal RNA", at positions 524 to 776 of the family's 1533-position model. The record is from RNAcentral.
UACGGAGGGUGCAAGCGUUAAUCGGAGUUACUGGGCGUAAAGGGCGCGUAGGUGGUCAUUUAAGUUAGAUGUGAAAUCCCUGGGCUUAACCUAGGAACUGCGUCUAAUACUGGAUGACUGGAGUACUGUAGAGGGUAGUGGAAUUUCCGGUGUAGCGGUGAAAUGCGUAGAGAUCGGAAGGAACACCAGUGGCGAAGGCGGCUACCUGGACAGAUACUGACACUGAGGCGCGAGAGCGUGGGGAGCAAACAGG